UUUGCUUGCGCAACAACUUCCAUCCUUCAUUCUUCUUCAGUCGUCUGUGAAGCCUUAUUUUUGGCUUGUCAGAUUGUCGGGUUUCCUGUGUUGCCUACCUAAGUUAUGGUAUUCUCUUGAUCGAUCCUAGACCCUUUUCGUCUUUUGUCAUUCACAUGAUGCAAGAUGAACCACGAAGUAGUCUCUUUGUACCACAUUGUCAAUGCAUGCGUUGAUGUUGUGGCCCAUUGAGCGUUGCUUGGUUUCAUGAACACAGAACAUGAUGUGGGCAUGGGAUUAAUUCCUUGUUUUGUCCUACAAUAGCGUUGCACCACUCCUUCAGUGACAACCUUCCGCAACGGCUUGUUCCAGCGGGUUAUGGGGUUCGUCAUUCUACGAGUAGUGCAACGUGCAUUUAUCUAAGCGACUUGCCUCCCCGCCCGGCUAGUACCAACGGGGUAGGUUUGUCAAUUAGGAAUGCUACCUGGUUGAUCCU
Molecule: unclassified non-coding RNA, 475 nt
Filed under: Lasthenia platycarpha
Lineage: Eukaryota; Viridiplantae; Streptophyta; Magnoliopsida; Asterales; Asteraceae
Description: partial external transcribed spacer
Source: RNAcentral